This 443-nucleotide ribosomal RNA is filed under the name uncultured bacterium. RNAcentral describes it as "partial 16S ribosomal RNA". It matches the Rfam family "Bacterial small subunit ribosomal RNA", at positions 338 to 795 of the family's 1533-position model. The record is from RNAcentral.
CCUACGGGAGGCAGCAGUCGGGAAUAUUGCGCAAUGGAGGAAACUCUGACGCAGUGACGCCGCGUAUAGGAAGAAGGUUUUCGGAUUGUAAACUUCUAUCAACAGGGACGAAAGAAAUGACGGUACCUGAAUAAGAAGCCCCGGCUAACUACGUGCCAGCAGCCGCGGUAAUACGUAGGGGGCAAGCGUUAUCCGGAAUUACUGGGUGUAAAGGGUGAGUAGGCGGCAUGGUAAGCCAGAUGUGAAAGCCUUGGGCUUAACCCGAGGAUUGCAUUUGGAACUAUCAAGCUAGAGUACAGGAGAGGAAAGCGGAAUGUCUAGUGUAGCGGUGAAAUGCGUAGAUAUUAGGAAGAACACCAGUGGCGAAGGCGGCUUUCUGGACUGAAACUGACGCUGAGGCACGAAAGCGUGGGGAGCGAACAGGAUUAGAUACCCUGGUAGUC